AUGGCGCGCCUUCUCCUCGUCCUCGUCCUCGUCCUCGCGGUGGCAGCUGCCGUCGCCCAAUCGAUGGUCUCUGCUGCUUCCUCAUCGUCGUACCGGACCUACCGGUGCGGCUGGUGCCCGCGCCGCUCUACCGCCUCCCUCCUCCCUCCGGACGCCGGCGCCCUUACUGGUGCCCCGUGCUGGUUCGGUGGCCAGGCGGCAGCGGAGCUCGCCGCCGACGGAGGGUUCCACAUUGCGGCCGUCGGCGCUGGAUUCUUCCGCGGCGGCCGGGCCUGCGGCGCCUGCUACCAACUGAGAUGCAGGGGCAAGAACGCGUGCUCAGAGAGCGGCGUCAAGGUCAUCAUCACCGACUUGGCGAAUCCGGCGACGGACACGAACAGGACAGGCGGCGGCCAGUUCCAACUCACUAGGGACGCCUUCGCCGCCUUGACUGCUUCUCGUGACGACGGUCAGCUCGCGAGCUUGGUGGACGCGGCCGUCGACGUCGACUUCAGGAGGAUACCUUGCGCGUACAAGAGCAAGAACCUGGCGGUGAGGGUGGAUGAGACGAGCAGCAGGAACAGGGGGCAGCUCGCCAUUCGGUUCCUCUACCAGGGCGGCCAGACCGACAUCGUCGCCGUCGAGGUGGCGAAGGCGGCGGCACCUUAUGCCGCUCAAAGCGCCGCCGCGCCGUCGCAGACGAAAUGGCAGUACAUGACGCGGCGCGAGGGGUCGCCCGGGGUGUGGCGCACGUCGCGCGCGCCGGCCGGCCCGCUGCGGCUCCGGCUCGUAGUCACCGCGGGCUCCGGCGGCAAGUGGCUGCGCGCUGACGGGGCGAUUUUCCCAGCGGAGUGGCAUGCUGGCGCGGUCUAUGACACCGGGCUGCGCGUCACCGAGGUCGCUGCAAACACCUGCGGCGCCGGAGACGACAACGACGAUGGCGAGUAG
This 927-nucleotide ribosomal RNA is filed under the name Triticum aestivum (bread wheat). Its description in RNAcentral is "partial small subunit ribosomal RNA". Lineage: Eukaryota; Viridiplantae; Streptophyta; Magnoliopsida; Poales; Poaceae. The record is from RNAcentral.